GGGUAUAACUUAGUGGUAGGGUGUUUGCCUAGCAUGGAAGAAACCUUGGGUUCAAUCCCCAGCACCACCCA
RNAcentral lists this transfer RNA (71 nucleotides) under Marmota monax (woodchuck). RNAcentral describes it as "tRNA.Ala". Lineage: Eukaryota; Metazoa; Chordata; Mammalia; Rodentia; Sciuridae. The record is from RNAcentral.